This 341-nucleotide long non-coding RNA is filed under the name Gallus gallus (chicken). The record is from RNAcentral. Lineage: Eukaryota; Metazoa; Chordata; Aves; Galliformes; Phasianidae.
GAAAAACUGGUACAAUUAAUUGUUCAUAUAACUAAUGGAGUUAGCUACUCCUGUAAAUGGAGAAGUUAGAACAAAUGCUAUGUAUUCCAUACCAAAGAGAACUGUUGCAGAGCCUGCUGGAGACCUCCAGUGGUACUUGGGCUUCAGAAGUGUUCAGAGUUCAAAAGACAACUGCAUAUGAACAUAACCAUAUUGGCCUGGAGAAGAGUUGUACUGCCAAUGUAUGGUUGGAGAUUAUCUGAGUGGAAAUUUACAGCCAUUGUGAAGGAACUUCUGCAUGUUGCACAGGCAGACUGGAAGGAUCCCAGCGGUUUGGACAACAGAAUCAGCAAGAGGAACAC